UAUAGAGAUCGGCCGAGGAGAAAGG
RNAcentral lists this non-coding RNA (25 nucleotides) under Mus musculus (house mouse). The record is from RNAcentral. Lineage: Eukaryota; Metazoa; Chordata; Mammalia; Rodentia; Muridae.